UACAGAGGUCCCCGAGCGUUGUUCGGAUUCAUUGGGCGUAAAGGGUGUGUAGGAGGUCAAAUAAGUCAGGCGUGAAAUCUCACCGCUUAACGGUGAAAUUGCGCUUGAUACUGUUUGGCUAGAGGAUUUGAGGGGGUAACGGAAUUCUUGGUGUAGCAGUGAAAUGCGUAGAUAUCAAGAGGAACACCAGUGGCGAAGGCGGUUACCUGGAAAAUUCCUGACUCUGAAACACGAAAGCUAGGGGAGCAAA
Molecule: ribosomal RNA, 250 nt
Filed under: uncultured bacterium
Lineage: Bacteria
Description: partial 16S ribosomal RNA
Rfam family: Bacterial small subunit ribosomal RNA
Source: RNAcentral